CCUAUGGGUGGCAGCAGUAGGGAAUCUUCCACAAUGGGCGAAAGCCUGAUGGAGCAACGCCGCGUGGGUGAAGAAGGUCUUCGGAUCGUAAAACCUUGUUGUUAGAGAAGAAAGUGCGUGAGAGUAACUGUUCACGUUUCGACGGUAUCUAACCAGAAAGCCACGGCUAACUACGUGCAAGCAGCUGCGGUAAUACGUAGGUGGCAAGCGUUAUCCGGUUUUAUUGGGCGUAAAGGGAACGCAGGCGGUCUUUUAAGUGUGAUGUGAAAGCGUUCGGCUAAAACGGAAUAGUGCAGUGGAAACUGGGAGACUUGAGUGCAGAAGAGGAGAGGGGAACUCCAGGUGUAGCGGGGAAAUGCUUAGAUAUAUGGAAGAACACCGAUGGCGAAGGCGGCUCUCUGGUCUGCAACUGACGCUGAGGUUCGAAAGCGUGGGUAGCAAACAGGAUUAGAUACCCUAGUAGUC
Molecule: ribosomal RNA, 465 nt
Filed under: uncultured bacterium
Lineage: Bacteria
Description: partial 16S ribosomal RNA
Rfam family: Bacterial small subunit ribosomal RNA
Source: RNAcentral